Molecule: long non-coding RNA, 290 nt
Organism: Sebastes umbrosus (honeycomb rockfish)
Lineage: Eukaryota; Metazoa; Chordata; Actinopteri; Perciformes; Sebastidae
Exons: 3
Source: RefSeq, a predicted model, not a curated record
CGACCACGUCACCGUGGGGAGGAGGUUGAAAUCACUUCAUAUAGAGCAGGUAGGGUGUAGGGGGUAGGGGUUGUAGGGUGUAGGGGGUGUAGGUGUAGGGGGUGUAGGUGUAGGGGGUGUAGGGGGUGAAGGGGCGGGAUGGUCAGAAGGGGGAUGGGGGAAGAAUGUGGAGAGAAAGGAUGCUACUUCUCUCUCCUCUCUUUCUCCUUCCUCUCCUUCUUCUCCCUUUUCAAGUCCUCCUUCUCUUUUUUCUCCAGAGCCUCCUUUUCCUUCUUCACACUUUUCAACUC